Long non-coding RNA from Peromyscus eremicus (cactus mouse), 1428 nucleotides. RefSeq lists it as uncharacterized. Lineage: Eukaryota; Metazoa; Chordata; Mammalia; Rodentia; Cricetidae. The transcript has 2 exons. The record is from RefSeq and is a predicted model, not a curated record.
UGUCUCCAAGCACGUCUGACAGCAGCGAGGAAUAAUUGCUUCCUCAUUUAGAUUAGACAAUGUGCUCUCUGCAAGCCGCACUCCUCUAAAUAGAUUGGAGAGAGUAAUUGAAGCGGGUUAUACUGGGAAGCGGAGUGGCCGAUUCCUCCUGGUGUGAGUGUGGAGAGCCUCGGUAACCCCUUCAGUCCGGCCUUCAUCCUGUUCCUAUUUAGGGAACCCGCAGAGCAGCGGCGCUGAGUGCCUGCGCCUCGCUGCCUUUAUUGUUUAGACUUGGGGGUGGGGUGGGGGAGGUCACAUGCCCUCUUUGACAGAGAGGUUUAUGGACUCUCUAAUUAGCUGCACCCUCCACCCGACAGACAGUUGGCCACCUUCCAAGAAUGGGGGUUUGGUGGCCACUGCUGAAGGAGAAAACAAGGUUAUUUACCCCUGUGACUGUAGUUCUUGGCACAAGCUCACCCUUUACACUCAGACACGUUUGCCUUUGUUCCAACCUGCGUUUGGAAUUCUGAGCAGGGCGUUGAGGAAAAUGCGGCUAUAUAUUUAGUGCUACACGCAGCACAUAUGUUGGCCUCAGACCCUUCUCACUAUCCCAAGGCCUCAAACAAAAAAAAGGGUAACAGAGCGGUGCUUGCACAUGCCCACCCACCCGCAAGCUCAGAAAAGGAAGUUAAAUUCGCAACAUCUAUAAAAUAACGACAGUUGUACGUUGGGGCAGUUGGAAGUCCCAACGGUAAAACGUGAUUGGGUUUAGCUAUUACUGGAGUGCCCGGAAUAUAUUUGGCUUAUCCUGUUCCGUCGGAUCUGCGGGGAUGGUGGGUUAAGCCGAUAGAAAUGCUUUGGGACUGAUUCAAACCAGAUGCUCCGGGCGCAGCCCAGCGUUAGGCAAGGCUGCCCCCUCGGCAGUCCUCCAGCGCAGCCAAAGCCGCGGGUUCUCCACCAGAUACCUCGGCCAUAAAAAGCUUUCAAGUCCCCAUUGUUAUUCCAGGCACAUUCCAGGGGGAUUGAGUCACAGACUCAACAGGACUUUCUCCUGGCUUGAACUGCCGGUAACAGGGUGGAUCAGACCCCCACCUUCGAGUAUGCAAUCCACUUCUGGUCAAAAGGCGCUUUAGGGCAAGCUCCAGGCCUUUCUGGUCUGGGCUGUCCUCUCCUCCUGCAGGACCUCCCAUCACCCAAAGAGGGAGGAGCUACAAGUACCCUCUCCAUUUUCUCCAAAACCUGAGCGUGUCUGGAGAAGUGUGCCCUGGGAGGGCGGCCGCGCCCCUGUGACGUUCGUGAGCAGUUUUGGCGAUCUGCUCUGCAACUGUGUUCGCCAAGGAUUCUGCGCUCUUCCGGAAAGCCUGCGUGUAUCGGAGGCUGCGAUGUGAACAAAUCGUUUCCACUCGAGUUGUUUAAGCUGCCCUUCAUAAAGUUGUCCUCAGAUUUUUA